UGGGGAAUUUUGGACAAUGGGCGAAAGCCUGAUCCAGCAAUGCCGCGUGUGUGAAGAAGGCCUUCGGGUUGUAAAGCACUUUUGUCCGGAAAGAAAUCCUUGGCUCUAAUACAGUCGGGGGAUGACGGUACCGGAAGAAUAAGCACCGGCUAACUACGUGCCAGCAGCCGCGGUAAUACGUAGGGUGCAAGCGUUAAUCGGAAUUACUGGGCGUAAAGCGUGCGCAGGCGGUUUGCUAAGACCGAUGUGAAAUCCCCGGGCUCAACCUGGGAACUGCAUUGGUGACUGGCAGGCUAGAGUAUGGCAGAGGGGGGUAGAAUUCCACGUGUAGCAGUGAAAUGCGUAGAGAUGUGGAGGAAUACCGAUGGCGAAGGCAGCCCCCUGGGCCAAUACCGACGCUCAUGCACGAAAGCGUGGGGAGCAAACAGGAUUAGAUACCCUGGUAGUCCACGCCCUAAACGAUGUCAACUAGUUGUUGGGGAUUCAUUUCCUUAGUAACGUAGCUAACGCGUGAAGUUGACCGCCUGGGGAGUACGGUCGCAAGAUUAAAACUCAAAGGAAUUGACGGGGUCAUAGCUGUUUCCU
Molecule: ribosomal RNA, 585 nt
Filed under: uncultured bacterium
Lineage: Bacteria
Description: partial 16S ribosomal RNA
Rfam family: Bacterial small subunit ribosomal RNA
Source: RNAcentral